CCGGCGCACGGGUGAGUAACACGUAUCCAACCUGCCGUCUACUCUUGGCCAGCCUUCUGAAAGGAAAAUUAAAUCCAGGAUGGCAUCAUGAGUUCACAUGUCCGCAUGAUUAAAGGUAUUUUCCGGUAGACGAUGGGGAUGCGUUCCAUUAGAUAGUAGGCGGGGUAACGGCCCACCUAGUCAACGAUGGAUAGGGGUUCUGAGAGGAAGGUCCCCCACAUUGGAACUGAGACACGGUCCAA
This 242-nucleotide ribosomal RNA is filed under the name uncultured bacterium. RNAcentral's name for it is "partial 16S ribosomal RNA". It matches the Rfam family "Bacterial small subunit ribosomal RNA", at positions 95 to 334 of the family's 1533-position model. The record is from RNAcentral.